This 239-nucleotide unclassified non-coding RNA is filed under the name Hevea brasiliensis (rubber tree). The record is from RNAcentral. Lineage: Eukaryota; Viridiplantae; Streptophyta; Magnoliopsida; Malpighiales; Euphorbiaceae.
UUAGUUACUCUUGAUCUAUCCAAUAAUGAAAUUUCAGGGCCGAUACCUCCUGAUCUUGUGAACUGUGCUUAUUUGAAUAAUUUGAUACUUUCAAAUAAUCGUCUUUCUGGCCCUAUACCUUAUGUGUUCUCUAGUUUGGCUAGGCUAAAGAAGUUUUCUGUGGCAAAUAAUGAUCUUACUGGUACAAUUCCAUCCUUCUUUAGUAAUUUUGAUUCUGGGGAUUUUUCUGGGAAUGAUGG